CAGUAGCCACGGUAAUACGGAGGGGGCUAGCGUUGUUCGGAAUUACUGGGCGUAAAGCGCACGUAGGCGGCUUGGUAAGUUAGAGGUGAAAGCCUGGAGCUCAACUCCAGAAUUGCCUUUAAGACUGCCGAGCUAGCAGGUGAGAGAGGUAAGUGGAAUUCCGAGUGUAGAGGUGAAAUUCGUAGAUAUUCGGAAGAACACCAGUGGCGAAGGCGGCUUACUGGCUCAUACUGGACGCUGAGGUGCGAAAGCGUGGGGAGCAAACAGGAUUAGAUACCCCCGUAGUCCCUGUCUCUUAUAC
RNAcentral lists this ribosomal RNA (301 nucleotides) under uncultured bacterium. RNAcentral's name for it is "partial 16S ribosomal RNA". It matches the Rfam family "Bacterial small subunit ribosomal RNA", at positions 509 to 807 of the family's 1533-position model. The record is from RNAcentral.